CUCUGCAGCCUCCUAUUGAUGAGGAUAAUUACAUUAGCUCAGAGUGACUGAUCAAUGAAAAACCACCACACAAAAACUUCUUUACUCCUCUAUAAUACCAAAAACCGAUACAGAAAUAACAUAGAAAGCCUGAUUUUCUCUCCCUUUCCUAUCCACCAAUAGAUUCUGCCCCCCCUCCCCCCAAAAGGACUGGGAGUAAAGUAAGAAAAUAGACCCAGGUUUGUUUCGUUUAAAGGAGGAUGCAAUUUUGUCCGUGAAUGCAUUUUCUCAGAAUGCAUUGGCUUCAUUCCUCCUUUGCUAAAGAAUAUCAACGGAUUUGUUAAUAGAACCUAGUCCAGGGACAUCCAGUGUGUCAGAUCAAAUCCCAGCAACAAAGUUUUGCUGGAAACGGAAAGGGUGGCUGAAGUGCACCAAAAUAAACCGCAAUGUCUUUUGACACUUGAUCGUACUCGACUGCUUCACGUCAAAUGCAAGUGUGGAACUCGUACUCUUUGAGGGUGUCUGGUUAUGUUUUCAACUGUUUUGGUGCAUACAGGCGUUUUCUCGGCUUCCCAAUUAAUCCUCACGGA
This is a long non-coding RNA of Zalophus californianus (California sea lion), 569 nucleotides long. RefSeq lists it as uncharacterized. The record is from RefSeq and is a predicted model, not a curated record. The transcript is spliced from 3 exons. NCBI's taxonomy places the organism in Eukaryota, Metazoa, Chordata, Mammalia, Carnivora, Otariidae.